RNAcentral lists this ribosomal RNA (468 nucleotides) under uncultured bacterium. RNAcentral's name for it is "partial 16S ribosomal RNA". It matches the Rfam family "Bacterial small subunit ribosomal RNA", at positions 28 to 507 of the family's 1533-position model. The record is from RNAcentral.
GACGAACGCUGGCGGCGUGCUUAACACAUGCAAGUCGAACGGAAAGGCCCUGCUUUUGUGGGGUGCUCGAGUGGCGAACGGGUGAGUAACACGUGAGUAACCUGCCCUUGACUUUGGGAUAACUUCAGGAAACUGGGGCUAAUACCGGAUAUGAGCUCCUGCUGCAUGGUGGGGGUUGGAAAGUUUCGGCGGUUGGGGAUGGACUCGCGGCUUAUCAGCUUGUUGGUGGGGUAGUGGCUUACCAAGGCUUUGACGAGUAGCCGGCCUGAGAGGGUGACCGGCCACAUUGGGACUGAGAUGCGGCCCAGACUCCUACGGGAGGCAGCAGUGGAGGAUAUUGCACGAUGGGCGGAAGCCUGAUGCAGCGACGCCGCGUGCGGGAUGACGGCCUUCGGGUUGUAAACCGCUUUCGCCUGUGACGAAGCGUGAGUGACGGUAAUGGGUAAAGAAGCACCGGCUAACUACGUG